GUAACAUGCUGGGUGAUGGGUCUAUCAGGUAACAUGCUGGGUCUAUCAGGUAACAUACUGGGUCUACCAGGUAACAUGCUGGAUCUAUCAGGUAACAUACUGGGUCUACCAGGUAACAUGCUGGAUCUAUCAGGUUACCUACUGGGUCUAUCAGGUAACAUGCUGGGUCUAUCAGAUAACAUACUGGGUCUAUCAGGUAACAUGCUGGGUGAUCGGUAUUUUAGGUAACAUGCUGGGUGAUGGGUCUAUCAGGUAACAUGAUGGGUCUAUCAGGUAGCAUGGUGGGUUUAUCAGGUAACAUGCUGGGUGAUGG
Oncorhynchus tshawytscha (Chinook salmon) is the source of this 313-nucleotide long non-coding RNA. The record is from Ensembl. NCBI's taxonomy places the organism in Eukaryota, Metazoa, Chordata, Actinopteri, Salmoniformes, Salmonidae.